RNAcentral lists this long non-coding RNA (2091 nucleotides) under Triticum aestivum (bread wheat). RNAcentral's name for it is "long non-coding RNA (TAES_LNC008681)". The record is from RNAcentral. Lineage: Eukaryota; Viridiplantae; Streptophyta; Magnoliopsida; Poales; Poaceae.
GCUAAUAGUGAUGUCCGGCGGCGCGAGGACAUGGUGAGGCUUCAACGAAUCAUCCAAGGUUCGAUCUCCCCUUUAUCACCCCUGCUAUUCAUAUAAAACAAUUCAACAGAGUUAAGGCGUCAGGUACCAUAGAUCUUCCAUUGAUCAGGGUGAAUUGUUGAUUAUGCUUAUUAUAGGCUUUGAAGGAUUAAAUCUGAGAACAUAAUUCUCGAAACGGGGGAGGUUCAAUUGGUGUUCCUGGAGAUGACAAGAAACAUCAUUCAAGGGAAGGAGGAUUCGUUGUGAGAGAGUCGGAUGCCGGCGCGGAUCCUCUCAAAGGACUCAUUGCAGCACCACAAAGACACAGGCAACGGUGCUACUGCUGAUGGUAGAGAGGAGAUCAAUGGCAAGGGAGGCAAGGGAGAAACUGAGGGUGUGAAUCUGAGUUUAUUCUAGAUGUCUUUUUUUGCUGAUCAACUCCAUCUCAAUCGCCAUCCAUCUUCCUCUAAUUUUUCUUUUGUUUCUGUACAGGUCAAAGAGGGUUUACAACUAAGUAUAAAGCUUCACGAGGACUCAUCUUCUUCGGAUGGAAGAUGAUCAGUUACUGAUAAGUUAUAAAAUUUCUAUAUUUCGGUGAUGGUAUCGACUAGGUGUUCUUUCAGAUUUGCUUCUAUCAUGCGUAUUAAAACACGUUCAGCUUAUGUAGAUGAUGCACGGAUACUGCAGUAAAAGUAAAUACUUUACCUGUAAACUGAACUUUUGAUUUAGUAAUUCUACUUUUGGUCCAACAAUCGAUCAAUUGUUGAGGCUAUACUGAACCAAAAAUUGCUUACUGGGGCAGUACUAUAGUCUCUUGAUUAUGCUCUUAAGUAAAUAUCAUGUCUUCCUCUAAUUAGAAAUUUAGAAAACAAUAGGUUAAUCAGAAGCUUUCUUACAAGAAGAGUGCUCUUCAGAAGCUACUACAUGUAUACGCUCACAUCACAUGCAUGUUUUGUUUUCUUAAUUUUCAGGUGCUUGUGAAUAUCUGCAGAAGUACAGUAGCCUGUAGCUUUGUAGGCGUUGAACUAAAUACCAAUCCAAGUAAGAGCGAAAGGAAGAUAAUAUAGGUUUUGAUCCGCCAAAAGGUCUAUUUAUUCUCAUUUCAGUUAAGACUUACCUCUAAACAUUGCAUGAACUCCUGCACAUAUUGGAUACUUUAUUGAUGCACCUUCUUGCAUUUUAAUUCCAUGUAAGUUGUGUACUCUAUUUAAUAAGUUAUUUGUAUUUUGGCUACAAAUGAUUUUAUUGGAUAUACUGUAGACAUUUUCCGCAAGGACUGUUGCAACUUGCUAGACAUAGGAAAAGAUGGGAGUCAAUCCAAGAUGACAUCAGCAACCAAAGGUGAACAUUUAUAUAAACAAUGGGUUUUCUGAUACAAGAAUAAUCAUGUGUUUUUUCUUUGAAGGUGUUUGAUUUUCUUUCGGUGUGGAAAUUAUUAUGAUGAUCAUUCAUCAUAGAUGGGUAUGUGCUUUUCUUCUGACAAAGAAAUUCAAGUUUGAAUCUUAGAUUUAACAAUUAUUUGACAUGUCAUGAAGUGUGUACUGCAUCACUCACAAAAAGCAUAGCUUCCAUCCAGCGGCUUUGGCCGAGUUAAUCUGUGCAUUGAUGUUUCACCAUUUCCUGAAGUUAUAUAACUAUUGUGGUUUCCUUCAGGUUAAUGCGAUUACUCUAUUAAGUGAAGGUUCGUCGUUUUUCCUUGAUCAAGGCUAUUAAUUUAUAGAUGAGUUUUCGAGUAUACUCAUAGUAGUCCAGUGACGAGUAUAAGUUGAAGCAAGAGUCUAUUACAUAAAAAACAUUUUCAUUUGAAAGUAGCCAUAAGAUAGAAAUGGCUACAUAUAUUGUAUACAUGAAAAUUAAGAUGUAUAUAGCAUGUCCGAGAGGCUAUUUUCCUCUUUUUGGUUAUACUUACUACUGUCCAUUUGAAGACAAAGGAAAACUUCUGCGAAACAACUUUUUUCAGAUUGUUUUAUCAUUUUCAACUCAUGGUUCAAUUAUGUUUACCUUUUGUCACCUUAUAUUUAUGGAAAUUCCUAUCAACAUAUUGCCAAAACAGAUGGGCGCGGCAACGUGCGC